AAUGAACGCUGGCGGCGUGGAUUAGGCAUGCAAGUCGAACGGGCUGUUCCUUCGGGGGCAGUCAGUGGCGCACGGGUGCGUAACACGUAGGUAAUCAACCCUCUGGUUGGGGAUAACACUUCGAAAGGAGUGCUAAUACCCGGUAUGGCGCAGCGGUCUUCGGAUCGCGGCGAGAAAGACCCGCAAGGGUUGCCAGAGGACGAGCCUGCGGCCCAUCAGCUAGUUGGCGAGGUAACGGCUCACCAAGGCGAAGACGGGUAGCUGGUCUGAGAGGAUGAUCAGCCACACUGGAACUGAGACACGGUCCAGACUCCUACGGGAGGCAGCAGUGGGGAAUAUUGCGCAAUGGGCGAAAGCCUGACGCAGCCACGCCGCGUGAGCGAUGAAGGCCUUCGGUCGUAAGACUCUGUGGGAGAGAAGAAUAAAGACCUGUGAGAAGCAGGCCUUGACGGUAGUCUCCUUAGCAAGCACCGGCUAACUCCG
Molecule: ribosomal RNA, 483 nt
Filed under: uncultured bacterium
Lineage: Bacteria
Description: bacterial SSU rRNA
Rfam family: Bacterial small subunit ribosomal RNA
Source: RNAcentral